Drosophila miranda is the source of this 1073-nucleotide long non-coding RNA. RefSeq lists it as uncharacterized. NCBI's taxonomy places the organism in Eukaryota, Metazoa, Arthropoda, Insecta, Diptera, Drosophilidae. The record is from RefSeq and is a predicted model, not a curated record. The transcript has 4 exons.
AAGUGCUCUGGUUCAUUUAAGCUGUGAGGCACUAUAUGUAUGUAUGUAUAUACUUCAGCGGUCGGCACGCACACAUUACAUUGCGUUUGUGUGCGUUGACAGAAGUCAAACUAAAACAAAAAGUAUAUACAAUAAUAUUAUUGUGUUGCUGCCGACCACUGUUACAAACGCGUUGUGCCGGGUCGCAGUUUGACAUGAUCGUUCAUGUUCUAUUACGUGAUCCGGUGUUUCUUGCGAAUCAUGCCCGCUUUAAGUCCGUUUGCGAGACUUUGGUCGUCGCUCGGUUUUUGACCGGAAAACAAAAGGUGAAGCGGAGAUUGAAAUAAAUUAUGACUCUGUCAAACGCACUUUGCAAAGAAAAAGACAGCCUUUCUUGCCAAAGCCUCCAUCUUCUGCAGAGAAUGUUCUGGAAGCUUUUCAAGACGAAAAUAUUAUGAACCGUUUUGGAAUAGCCAAGGGAAAUACUGCAAAUCAGUUCUAUAAAAAAGUGUACGCAUCGAGCUAUAUAGACUCGAUCAUUUGCUGCCUUAAAGGAGCAUCCUUUAUAUCAGAUUACGAAAAGGCAAUGCGUAACGCGUUAAAAGGUCUGCAUCCCAACAUGAAUUUUUACGCCUGUUGGUUUCAUUUUACUCAAGCAUGCAAGAAAAAUCGAGUGGUUUUGAAAAAACGCUGAAAUGCAAUAAGAAAGCUUACAUGCUAUUUAUGAAAUUUUUGCACUUGCCGCUUUUACCAGAAAGCAAAAUUGUCGAAGCAUUUAACCUUCUAAAAGGCGAAGCAAUAAACUUAAAUAAGAAGCUGUUUUCUCCAUUUUUAAAAUAUUUUAAUAGACAGUGGCUUAAAAAGGAGGGACCAAAAAGCAUAUCCGUGUUUAAGAGGUCAACUAGAACCACAAGCUCAGUAGAAGCUUAUAAUUUGAAUUUGGGAAAUAAAAUUCGAGCAAAUGGGCACUUUUUUAAAUUUGUUCAAUGUCUUAUUGAUGCAGAAAAUGAAAAAAGUCGCGAGUUUGCUUUACUCUUUCAAAAUGGUGGUAAUGGAAAUCAGACACAGAAGAAGAAAUUACGUGAUCGCUCAAA